AGCUUUGCGCAGUGGCAGUAUCGUAGCCAAUGAGGUUUAUCCGAGGCGCGAUUAUUGCUAAAUAAAUAAAUAAAUAAAUACUUUUAAAAUUUCUUAAAAAAAAAAAAGCUA
Molecule: small nuclear RNA, 111 nt
Filed under: Lynx canadensis (Canada lynx)
Lineage: Eukaryota; Metazoa; Chordata; Mammalia; Carnivora; Felidae
Description: U4 spliceosomal RNA (ENSLCNG00005001204.1)
Rfam family: U4 spliceosomal RNA
About the family: U4 small nuclear RNA (U4 snRNA) is a component of the major U2-dependent spliceosome.
Source: RNAcentral